GCCUAUGGUGCCAGCUACUAGGGAGGCUGAGGCUGGAGAACCCCUUGAGUUCAGGAGUUCUGGGCUGUAGUGCACUAUACCAAUCGGGUGUGCGCACUAAGUUCGGCAUCAAUAUGGUGACCUCCCGGAAGCGGGGGACCUAGGUUGCCUAAGGAGGGGUGAACCAGCCCAGGUCGGAAACGGAGCAGCUUAAAACUCCCGUGCUGAUCAGUAGUGGGACUGCGCUUGUAAAUAGCCACUGCACUCCAGCCUCAACAACAUAGUGAGACCCUCCCUCU
This 278-nucleotide signal recognition particle RNA is filed under the name Cebus imitator (Panamanian white-faced capuchin). RNAcentral describes it as "Metazoan signal recognition particle RNA (ENSCCAG00000008888.1)". It matches the Rfam family "Metazoan signal recognition particle RNA". Rfam says of the family: The signal recognition particle (SRP) is a universally conserved ribonucleoprotein. It is involved in the co-translational targeting of proteins to membranes. The eukaryotic SRP consists of a 300-nucleotide 7S RNA and six proteins: SRPs 72, 68, 54, 19, 14, and 9. The record is from RNAcentral. Lineage: Eukaryota; Metazoa; Chordata; Mammalia; Primates; Cebidae.